GACGGCCACACUGGGACUGAGACACGGCCCAGACUCCUACGGGAGGCAGCAGUGGGGAAUAUUGCGCAAUGGACGAAAGUCUGACGCAGCGACGCCUCGUGAGGGACGAAGGUCUUCGGAUUGUAAACCUCUUUCAGCAGGGACGAAGCGAAAGUGACGGUACCUGCAGAAGAAGCACCGGCUAACUAUGUGCCAGCAGCCGCGGUAAUACAUAGGGUGCAAGCGUUGUCCGGAUUUAUUGGGCGUAAAGAGUUCGUAGGCGGUUUCUCGCGUCGGAUGUGAAAACUCAGGGCUCAACCCUGAGCCUGCAUUCGAUACGGGGAAACUUGAGGACGGCAGGGGAGA
RNAcentral lists this ribosomal RNA (345 nucleotides) under uncultured bacterium. RNAcentral's name for it is "bacterial SSU rRNA". It matches the Rfam family "Bacterial small subunit ribosomal RNA", at positions 303 to 660 of the family's 1533-position model. The record is from RNAcentral.